GUGAAUUGACAUUUUAACAAUUUAGCAAGUUUCUCCUUAUUUUGUCUGCACUAUAAUUGUUUUUUUAUGUUUUAUCUUUGAGGUUUUAUUCCUGCAUAAAAGAGUGAUUCCAACAAUACUGUAGGCAUACAAAAAAGGUUAAAAAAAAGUACAUUUUAAGCAAUUUAAAGAGACACUGUCCUGUUUUAAAUUAUGUACUAUAAGCACUGUAAUUUGCACAUA
Molecule: non-coding RNA, 222 nt
Organism: Pelobates cultripes (western spadefoot toad)
Lineage: Eukaryota; Metazoa; Chordata; Amphibia; Anura; Pelobatidae
Source: the annotation of a GenBank genome assembly